RNAcentral lists this ribosomal RNA (412 nucleotides) under uncultured bacterium. Its description in RNAcentral is "bacterial SSU rRNA". It matches the Rfam family "Bacterial small subunit ribosomal RNA", at positions 355 to 786 of the family's 1533-position model. The record is from RNAcentral.
UCGGGAAUAUUGCGCAAUGGAGGAAACUCUGACGCAGUGACGCCGCGUAUAGGAAGAAGGUUUUCGGAUUGUAAACUAUUGUCGUUAGGGAAGAUACAAGACAGUACCUAAGGAGGAAGCCCCGGCUAACUAUGUGCCAGCAGCCGCGGUAAUACAUAGGGGCAAGCGUUAUCCGGAUUAUUGGUGUAAAGGGUGCGUAGAUGGAGGAGCAAGUUGGUUGUGAAAUCCCUCGGCUCAACUGAGGAACUGCAACCAAAACUACUUCCCUUGAGUGUCGGAGAGGAAAGUGGAAUUCCUAGUGUAGCGGUGAAAUGCGUAGAUAUUAGGAGGAACACCAGUGGCGAAGGCGACUUUCUGGACGAUAACUGACAUUGAGGCACGAAAGUGUGGGGAGCAAACAGGAUUAGAUACC